Molecule: ribosomal RNA, 392 nt
Filed under: uncultured bacterium
Lineage: Bacteria
Description: bacterial SSU rRNA
Rfam family: Bacterial small subunit ribosomal RNA
Source: RNAcentral
AUUGAACGCUGGCGGCAUGCUUUACACAUGCAAGUCGAACGGCAGCACGGGUGCUUGCACCUGGUGGCGAGUGGCGGACGGGUGAGUAAUGCAUCGGAACGUGUCCUGAAGUGGGGGAUAACGCAUCGAAAGAUGUGCUAAUACCGCAUAUUCUCUGAGGAGGAAAGUAAGGGGAGUCGAAAGACCUUAUGCUUUGGUAGCGGCCGAUGUCUGAUUAGCUAGUUGGUAGGGUAAUGGCUUACCAAGGCGACGAUCAGUAGUUGGUCUGAGAGGACGACCAGCCACACUGGGACUGAGACACGGCCCAGACUCCUACGGGAGGCAGCAGUGGGGAAUUUUGGACAAAUGGGCGCAAGCCUGAUCCGGCAAUGCCGCGUGAGUGAAGAAGGCCU